Anopheles moucheti is the source of this 185-nucleotide long non-coding RNA. RefSeq lists it as uncharacterized. NCBI's taxonomy places the organism in Eukaryota, Metazoa, Arthropoda, Insecta, Diptera, Culicidae. The transcript is spliced from 3 exons. The record is from RefSeq and is a predicted model, not a curated record.
CUACAUGUGUUAGCAUCUUUAAAUGUUUCAAAAUAAAAUGGUGCAAUAUGGAAUAAGCGGUUUGAAGUAUGAAAUAAAUUGAUGAAGAUGAUUAUGGUUCCGGUGAUGCGCAUUUUCUCGCUGACUGUUGCACGUACAUCCUACAUCCGUACAUCCCCAAAGAUAAACACAAACUGCGAUCCCAU